AAAAAAAAAAAAAAAAGCAAAGCUGUUUCAGUCUCUGGUCAUAACUUAUGGUAUGGCAUUUGCAGUCUUGCAGACAUGUACCUUAAAGAAAGAGCUUUCUCUCUCUCUCUCCCCCUUUCAAGAUUCAAAUCUGUAGACACCCAAUGCAUCCAUGGUGUGCCCCAGAAGAAAAUUUCUUUUCUUUUUGUAAAAAAGGAUACAUGCAUUCAUAACAUUGUCCA
Molecule: unclassified non-coding RNA, 221 nt
Filed under: Hevea brasiliensis (rubber tree)
Lineage: Eukaryota; Viridiplantae; Streptophyta; Magnoliopsida; Malpighiales; Euphorbiaceae
Source: RNAcentral